Molecule: ribosomal RNA, 400 nt
Filed under: uncultured bacterium
Lineage: Bacteria
Description: bacterial SSU rRNA
Rfam family: Bacterial small subunit ribosomal RNA
Source: RNAcentral
UGGGGAAUAUUGGACAAUGGGCGAAAGCCUGAUCCAGCCACGCCGCGUGAGUGAUGAAGGCCUUCGGGUCGUAAAGCUCUGUGGAGAGAGACGAACCGCUGGAGAUUAAGAGUCACCAGCAUGACGGUAUCUUUUUAGCAAGCACCGGCUAACUUCGUGCCAGCAGCCGCGGUAAUACGAAGGGUGCAAACGUUGCUCGGAAUUAUUGGGCGUAAAGCGCACGUAGGCGGCAACUCAAGUCGGAUGUGAAAGCCCUUGGCUCAACCAAGGAAGUGCAUCCGAAACUGAGUUGCUUGAGUACUUAAGAGGAUCGCGGAAUUCCCGGUGUAGAGGUGAAAUUCGUAGAUAUCGGGAGGAACACCAGUGGCGAAGGCGGCGAUCUGGGAAGAUACUGACGCUG